RNAcentral lists this ribosomal RNA (253 nucleotides) under uncultured bacterium. Its description in RNAcentral is "partial 16S ribosomal RNA". It matches the Rfam family "Bacterial small subunit ribosomal RNA", at positions 524 to 776 of the family's 1533-position model. The record is from RNAcentral.
UACGUAGGGGGCUAGCGUUGUCCGGAAUCAUUGGGCGUAAAGCGCGCGUAGGCGGCCCGGUAAGUCCGCUGUGAAAGUCCAGGGCUCAACCCUGGAAAGCCGGUGGAUACUGCCGGGCUAGAGUCCGGAAGAGGCGAGUGGAAUUCCUGGUGUAGCGGUGGAAUGCGCAGAUAUCAGGAAGAACACCCGUGGCUAAGGCGGCUCUCUAGUACGUGACUGACGCUGAGACGCGAAAGCGUGGGGAGCGAACAGG